GGAUCUGGCCUGGGUUUCAUUUUGCCUCCCUCCCGUUGCUGCUCGUCGUUCGUCUUUCGUCUUUGCCCAAAAGCAGAGCUGGAGUUUCUGCUUUAUGACCAGUUCCGGCGAAAUGUGUCUUCAGCUGUUGCUCUUGCCCGCUUCAUCGUCGUCUAUGCCACUCUUUUGAAUUUGGAUUUCACGGAAUUUAACUUCGCAGUUAGGAUGACAUUGCCUGCGUGUAUCUGUGUCUGUAUCUCAAUGUCUGUGUGUUUUUUUCGGUUGGGUCCUUUGUGUGCUGCGAGGAUAAUCUAAUUUUCCAACUAAAUCAGUAACAAAACCAAAAAA
This is a long non-coding RNA of Drosophila innubila, 327 nucleotides long. RefSeq lists it as uncharacterized. NCBI's taxonomy places the organism in Eukaryota, Metazoa, Arthropoda, Insecta, Diptera, Drosophilidae. The transcript has 2 exons. The record is from RefSeq and is a predicted model, not a curated record.